CCCGGACCUUGUACACACCGCCCGUCAAGCCAUGGGAGUUGGGGGUGCCUGAAGUAGUUAGCCUAACCGCAAGGAGGGCGAUUACCACGGCAGGGUUCGUGACUGGGGUG
Molecule: ribosomal RNA, 110 nt
Filed under: uncultured bacterium
Lineage: Bacteria
Description: partial 16S ribosomal RNA
Rfam family: Bacterial small subunit ribosomal RNA
Source: RNAcentral